RNAcentral lists this ribosomal RNA (375 nucleotides) under uncultured bacterium. RNAcentral's name for it is "bacterial SSU rRNA". It matches the Rfam family "Bacterial small subunit ribosomal RNA", at positions 521 to 898 of the family's 1533-position model. The record is from RNAcentral.
UAAUACGUAGGGGGCGAGCGUUAUCCGGAUUCAUUGGGCGUAAAGCGCUCGUAGGCGGCCCGUCUGGUCGGGAGUCAAAGCCCGGGGCUCAACCCCGGCCCGCUCCCGAUACCGGCGGGCUUGAGUCGCGCAGGGGAGGCCGGAAUUCCGAGUGUAGCGGUGGAAUGCGCAGAUAUUCGGAAGAACACCGGUGGCGAAGGCGGACCUCUGGGCGCGCACUGACGCUGAGGAGCGAAAGCUGGGGGAGCGAACAGGAUUAGAUACCCUGGUAGUCCCAGCCGUAAACGAUGGGCACUAGGUGUGGGGGGACGAGCCCCCCGUGCCGAAGCUAACGCAUUAAGUGCCCCGCCUGGGGAGUACGGCCGCAAGGCUAAA